Molecule: long non-coding RNA, 1116 nt
Organism: Vicia villosa (hairy vetch)
Lineage: Eukaryota; Viridiplantae; Streptophyta; Magnoliopsida; Fabales; Fabaceae
Exons: 3
Source: RefSeq, a predicted model, not a curated record
AUUAAUCAAGGCCUUAACUCACUAAAUUGAAAGGAAAGAACAAAGAGGGAUUUAUGGUUACGUGAGUCUUGGAGUUCUGAAGAACUCAACCUUGCACGACGGCGGCCGGAAUUCAACCUUCUCCGACGAGAACUCCGAUCGGUCCUCACAUCUCUCGCAUCUCUCCGCUCACCGUCUCUCUCGCCUCUCUCAAUAAUUUUUCUGAAUCGAACUCUCUUCGCUUCCUCUCGAUUCAAAAUUGCGGCGUUCACCACCGCAAACAUCUCUUCGCUCAAAUCGUCUCCCUCAGAAUCUCAUCUCUCAGUUAUCUCCUGCCGGAGAAGUUUCGGCGACUCUUCCGAGGUGACACAGAUGAGUGAAAUUUCGGAAAGUCUCAAUCGUGAAAUCUAGGUUCGUUGCAAGUUGCGUGGUGCAGGGAUGAAGGUUCGAUGAAAGUGAUGAACACUGAUAUUAUCACAUGAAGGAGAAAACUCGGUGAUGACUGGCAAUUCGACACGUCGUGAAGUAGUUGAUGAAUCGUGAAGGUGAUUGAAGUCGUUGAUGUUGAAACGCUUACGUUUCUAGCACCGAAUUGAAGAUGAACGAGGAUGGAAGCUUCGAUUGCAGAGAAAUAUGAAAUCGGAGAAUGAAGGAAAGAGAUCGAUGAACGUCUCUGCAGAUUUUUGAGAGCUUGAUCGAAGAAGAGAAAGGAUUGAAAUCGAGAGAGAUGAAGGUUUUGUUGAAGAUUGAAGGAGAGUGAUAUUUUUCUGGAGGUGAUUGAAUGGAAGUGAUGAUGAAGGAGAUGGAGAGCAUGAGUUGAAAUUGAAGAUGAUGAAGAAUACGUGAUGAAGAACGGUUUAGAGAGAGAGAUGAAGUUUGUUACAGUUUUUGUUACAUCUUUUUUUUCUGCUCCCCCUUCUGAUACGUUUUUUCUUCUCUCCUUUUCCCCUCUUUGCUGAGCUGUGUAUCGGUUUGUUAUGCAGGCUGGUUCGGUUUAUUCAUUGCGGUUCGAGUUGCUCGAGUUGCGGUUCAACUUGAAAUGUACAAUGAUCAAAAGCCGAGAUACACUAUGGAAUAGGCUUAGUUUUUAAUCGUUUCAGAACAUGUUUCUUUUUGUCAUGGAUAUUGAAUAGUGAA